Molecule: ribosomal RNA, 390 nt
Filed under: Triticum aestivum (bread wheat)
Lineage: Eukaryota; Viridiplantae; Streptophyta; Magnoliopsida; Poales; Poaceae
Description: partial small subunit ribosomal RNA
Source: RNAcentral
AUGUUGUUUGGUGGUGUGGAUUUUCAUGUAAGGUGUUCGGCACACAUCCUUAAUAUCUUAGUUCAAGAUGGAACAAGAUAUGUGCACAAGACCAUAGAAAAAAUCCGUGAACUUUUAAGGCAUAUCGCUUCUUCGCCAUCAAGAAUUCAAUCCUUCAAUGCGAUUGCCACAAAUUUGGAUCUUCCUGAAAAGGCUGGUGUCAUAAAUCUUGAUAUUCCAAACCGUUGGAACUCUACAUAUCUAAUGAUUGGAGAAGCUCUGGAAUACAAGGGAGCCCUCAAUAAUUAUGCAAGUGGAAAUGGUGAAGCACCGGACGAUGUGGAGUGGACUAAUGCUGAAGUAAUGUGCGCAUUUCUAAAACCUUUUGAAGAAGCGACAAAGUUAGUAUCA